GGGGUUGUAGCUCAGAUGGUAGAGCGCCCGCUUCGCAUGCGCGGGAGGUACAGGGAUCGAUACCCUGCUGCUCCA
Molecule: non-coding RNA, 75 nt
Organism: Aphanomyces cochlioides
Lineage: Eukaryota; Oomycota; Saprolegniomycetes; Saprolegniales; Verrucalvaceae
Source: the annotation of a GenBank genome assembly